UGCUAGGAUGGCCGAGUGGUUAAGGCGCUGGACUUUAAGAUCAAAUGGAUGUUUGUAUCCCGCGGGUUCGACCCCCACCUUAGCAA
Molecule: transfer RNA, 86 nt
Filed under: Alosa alosa (allis shad)
Lineage: Eukaryota; Metazoa; Chordata; Actinopteri; Clupeiformes; Clupeidae
Description: tRNA-Leu
Rfam family: tRNA
About the family: Transfer RNA (tRNA) molecules are approximately 80 nucleotides in length. Their secondary structure includes four short double-helical elements and three loops (D, anti-codon, and T loops).
Source: RNAcentral